RNAcentral lists this ribosomal RNA (253 nucleotides) under uncultured bacterium. RNAcentral describes it as "partial 16S ribosomal RNA". It matches the Rfam family "Bacterial small subunit ribosomal RNA", at positions 524 to 776 of the family's 1533-position model. The record is from RNAcentral.
GACGAACCGUGCGAACGUUGUUCGGAAUCACUGGGCUUAAAGGGCGCGUAGGCGGGUCAUCAAGUCAGGGGUGAAAUACUUCGGCUCAACCGGAGAAGUGCUUUUGAUACUGGUGACCUCGAGGGGUGUAGGGGCAUGUGGAACUUCCGGUGGAGCGGUGAAAUGCGUAGAUAUCGGAAGGAACGCCGGUGGCGAAAGCGACGUGCUGGACACCUUCUGACGCUGAGGCGCGAAAGCCAGGGGAGCAAACGGG